UACGAAGGGUGCAAGCGUUACUCGGAAUUACUGGGCGUAAAGCGUGCGUAGGUGGUUCGUUAAGUCUGAUGUGAAAGCCCUGGGCUCAACCUGGGAACGGCAUUGGAUACUGGCGAUCUGGAGUGCGGUAGAGGGUGGCGGAAUUCCCGGUGUAGCAGUGAAAUGCGUAGAUAUCGGGAGGAACAUCCGUGGCGAAGGCGGCCACCUGGACCAGCACUGACACUGAGGCACGAAAGCGUGGGGAGCAAACAGG
RNAcentral lists this ribosomal RNA (253 nucleotides) under uncultured bacterium. RNAcentral describes it as "partial 16S ribosomal RNA". It matches the Rfam family "Bacterial small subunit ribosomal RNA", at positions 524 to 776 of the family's 1533-position model. The record is from RNAcentral.